Molecule: ribosomal RNA, 164 nt
Filed under: Parabaena sagittata
Lineage: Eukaryota; Viridiplantae; Streptophyta; Magnoliopsida; Ranunculales; Menispermaceae
Description: 5.8S ribosomal RNA
Rfam family: 5.8S ribosomal RNA
About the family: 5.8S ribosomal RNA (5.8S rRNA) is a component of the large subunit of the eukaryotic ribosome.
Source: RNAcentral
UUAACGACUCUCGGCAACGGAUAUCUCGGCUCUCGCAUCGAUGAAGAACGUAGCGAAAUGCGAUACUUGGUGUGAAUUGCAGAAUCCCGUGAACCAUCGAGUUUUUGAACGCAAGUUGCGCCCGAGGCCACCUGGUCGAGGGCACGUCUGCCUGGGCGUCACGC